UCCGUAGGAGGCAAGCGUUGUCCGGAGUUACUGGGCGUAAAGCGUACGCAGGCGGUCCAAUCAGUCUGUAGGGACAGGGCACAGCUUAACUGUGUCAGGCUUAUGGAAACUGUUGGACUUGAGGGCUUCAGAGGGAUGGGGAAUUCCGGGUGGAGUGGUGAAAUGCGUAGAGAUCCGGAAGAACACCAAAGGCGUAGGCACCAUCCUGGGGAGUCACUGACGCUCAUGUACGAAAGCUAGGGGAGCGAACGGG
Molecule: ribosomal RNA, 253 nt
Filed under: uncultured bacterium
Lineage: Bacteria
Description: partial 16S ribosomal RNA
Rfam family: Bacterial small subunit ribosomal RNA
Source: RNAcentral